This is an RNA transcript of Momordica charantia (bitter melon), 2605 nucleotides long. It is a transcript of the gene named protein YLS7, with no coding region annotated. Lineage: Eukaryota; Viridiplantae; Streptophyta; Magnoliopsida; Cucurbitales; Cucurbitaceae. The record is from RefSeq and is a predicted model, not a curated record.
CCAUCGAAGUAGAAGCGACACAUUAAUCGUAUUUCAACUUUCAACAAGAAUUUCCUUUAUCGGAGCCUCAAUUUCCACUGGUUUCAUCAAAAGAAAAGGGGAAAAAAAAAAAUCCUUCCACUGGGCUCCCGAACAAAUCACCUGGUUCAUUAAAGGAUAUUCAACUCGGGCGUUAAUCGCUAAGAUCGCUUUCCACAUUCAAUGACACGAUAACGAUCAAAUCUCGAGCAGAAAGAGAAAGUCGAAACUGGGAUUGAAUUGUUGGUCUUAGUGAGAAAGAUGUUGAUUACGGAAUACGUUGGUCAUUGAUUACCUGCGUGCAUCUAUAUAUAUUAACCAGACGGGUUUUUUUGGAGGGUUGUAGUGGUUCCAAUUUCUUUGAAACAGCCGAUUUUACCUGUUCAUGGUAGUGGUAGAUAUUUUGAGAAGUUAUGACUUGGGCCAUACGAAAGGGUUCACAAAUGGCUGUAUAUCCGCGAACAAUUUCUUGGAUUGCCGUUUCAGUUGGAGGAUUGGCAAUGUUCCUAAUCUUUGGCUCAUGGUUCUUAGUCUCCUACCCUAUUGGGUCCAUAAUGCGAGGGUACUUUUACGGUGUUAAUAGUUCAAAAGAGUUGGAUUUUGUAAUUUCUCUAGGAAAUUCAAGUGCUACUGUUCCUGCCUAUGACAGCAAUUUAGAUCUAGUUCCAAAAAAACUCCCUUCAGAUAAGGAUAUAGUUGACAGGAAAUUUGAAUCUGGGUUAAAUCCACCUCCUCAAAGUAGUUCAGAUAGACCUCCGGUUGACAAAAAUUCAGCUGCAAUUGACAAGAAUUUGAUGCCUCAGUCCAAGUCACCAGAUGCCACAAAUUCAAGUAGUCAGUCAACUGCUUCAGAAACCAAGAAGAAGGAAGAUGAAAGGGCGAUUCCUUCAGUAUUAUCUUCUCAAGAUGGGUCAGAGCCAGAGGCUGCCACCAUUACAUCUAACGUUGAAAAUUCUGUAAAUGGUGGAUCUGUUUCCAAUAAUUCUAUCAGCAAUUCAAAUGAUACAGAUAUGGGUUCUAAAAAUGAUAUUGAUGUCAAAUCAGGAGGUUUACCAGAUCCAAAUCCCCUGCCAACUAAUGGGAGCAAGACAUCAGAUUUAGGCUGUGAUUUGUACCAUGGAAGUUGGGUUUAUGAUUCCACAGGACCAUUGUAUAAAAAUGAUUCAUGCCCUGUCCUGUCACAGAUGCAGAACUGCCAGGGGAAUGGGAGACCAGACAGUGAAUACGAGAAUUGGCGAUGGAAGCCUUCUCAAUGUAGCCUCCCAAGAUUUGAUGCUAAGAAAUUCUUGAACUUGAUGAGUGGGAAGACACUUGCUUUUAUUGGCGACUCAGUUGCUCGAAACCAAAUGGAGUCAUUAUUGUGCGCCUUGUGGCAGGUUGAAGUUCCUAAAAACAGGGGCAAUAGGAAAAUGCAAAGAUAUUUUUUCAGGUCAAACUCUGUGAUGAUUGUUCGAAUAUGGUCAUCAUGGCUUGUGAAGCAAAGAUCUGAACCUGUAGAUUUUGCUCCAGAGGGUGUUGUGAAACUUCACCUUGAUGCUCCUGAUGAUAAUCUCAUGGAAUUUAUUCCAAAUUUUGAUGUCAUUGUUAUUUCGUCUGGUCACUGGUUUGCCAAGCAGUCGGUUUACGUUUUAAAUAAUGAGAUUGUUGGAGGACAGCUGUGGUGGCCUGAUAAGUCUCGUCCUAUGAAGGUUAACAACAUCGAAGCUUUUCGAAUAUCUGUCGAAACAAUUCUUACUGCUCUUGCCACAGAUCCAAAAUACAGGGGACUCACGAUUGUGCGUUCUUAUUCUCCUGAUCACUAUGAAGGUGGGGCCUGGAAUACAGGUGGAUCCUGUACUGGAAAGGAAAGGCCUAUUGGUGUUGGAGAACUAGUGGAAAAUAAAUUCACAAACAUUAUGCACGAUAAUCAGGUAUCUGGUUUCAAUGCUGCAGUUAAGAAGUUGACAAAUAAAUCAAGGCUAAGGCUAAUGGACAUUACAGAAAUCUUUCAGUAUCGUCAUGAUGGGCAUCCAGGGCCUUACAGAAGUACUGACCCUAAUAAACUCACCAAACGUGGCCCAGAUGGAAGGCCACCACCACAGGACUGUUUACACUGGUGCAUGCCAGGUCCUGUAGAUACCUGGAAUGAGCUUGUUCUUGAACUUAUAAGGAGAGAUUUUGAGGGUAACCAGAUUUCCUCUUCAUGAUAUUUGUGUUCCUGAAUUCCUGUAUGGAUUUUUAGUUACGAAAAUUAUGAGGGAAAUGAGUCAACUUGUUUCCAAAGUUUACGUCGUCUUAGGCUUGAGCAAAGUUUUGGAGGUCCUUCCAGAAAAGAGAGAAGGUAUUUGGAGCUUCCAUUGAUUCAUCUUGAAGCCAACAAGGAAAGGAAAAGCUUUUGCUGGAAGUCUUUGGAAAGGAAACCAUGGCUGGGGUAAGCAUAAGCUUCUUGUUAUGGGGCUGCUGCCAUUACCUUGAAUUUUGCUGCACUUAUCUCUGAUCUUUGGUGCUUACUGUAUUCUUGGGGUUGCCUAUAUGAAUUUUGUAGACCAUGGAUAUUUUAGAACCAGACAAUACUCUUAGUUUAUGAUUCCUUUCAUCGGGGUGAGUA